This 454-nucleotide ribosomal RNA is filed under the name uncultured bacterium. RNAcentral describes it as "bacterial SSU rRNA". It matches the Rfam family "Bacterial small subunit ribosomal RNA", at positions 28 to 490 of the family's 1533-position model. The record is from RNAcentral.
GAUGAACGCUGGCGGCGUGCUUAACACAUGCAAGUCGAACGGGAUCCCAGGAGCUUGCUCCUGGGUGAGAGUGGCGAACGGGUGAGUAAUGCGUGACCGACCUGCCCCAUACACCGGAAUAGCUCCUGGAAACGGGUGGUAAUGCCGGAUGCUCCGACAUGACGCAUGUCGUGUCGGGAAAGAUUCAUCGGUAUGGGAUGGGGUCGCGUCCUAUCAGCUUGAUGGCGGGGUAACGGCCCACCAUGGCUUCGACGGGUAGCCGGCCUGAGAGGGCGACCGGCCACAUUGGGACUGAGAUACGGCCCAGACUCCUACGGGAGGCAGCAGUGGGGAAUAUUGCACAAUGGGCGCAAGCCUGAUGCAGCGACGCCGCGUGCGGGAUGACGGCCUUCGGGUUGUAAACCGCUUUUGACUGGGAGCAAGCCCUUCGGGGUGAGUGUACCUUUCGAAUAAG